RNAcentral lists this long non-coding RNA (15170 nucleotides) under Prunus dulcis (almond). The record is from RNAcentral. Lineage: Eukaryota; Viridiplantae; Streptophyta; Magnoliopsida; Rosales; Rosaceae.
UAGGCACUCAAGCAGAACAAGUUAUUCAUAUUGGAUCAUCAUGAUGCAUUGAUGCCGUACCUGAGGCGGAUAAACUCAACUUCCAACAAGAUCUAUGCUAGCAGAACAGUUCUUUUCUUGAAAAGUGAUGGAACUUUGAAGCCAUUGGUGAUUGAAUUAAGCUUGCCUCAUCCUGAUGGAGAUCAAUUUGGUCGCAUUAGUAAAGUAUAUACACCAGCUGAAGAGGGUGUAGAAGGCUCCAUAUGGCAACUGGCUAAAGCUUAUGUGGCUGUAAAUGACUCUGGAUAUCAUCAACUUAUCAGUCACUGGUACUAAUCUUUCAAAGAAAGAAAUCUUAGAAAAUGAAUUCAUCAUAUUACUUUGAAUUGGAUUUCUGAUAAUCCUUUUAUCUUUUGGCCACAGGUUGAACACCCACGCAGUGUGUGAGCCAGUUGUAAUAGCUACAAACAGGCAGCUAAGCGUGGUUCACCCAAUUUACAAACUUCUGCAUCCUCACUUCCGUGACACCAUGAACAUAAAUGCAUUUGCCAGGCAAAUCCUGAUCAAUGCUGGCGGCAUUCUGGAGACAACAGUUUUUCCUGCUAGGUAUGCCAUGGAGAUGUCAUCAGUGGUUUAUAAGGAUUGGGUUUUCACUGAGCAAGCUCUCCCUGCAGAUCUCAUCAAGAGGUAAACAAAAAUCUACACUUUGUGAGUUAAUUGCCUCUGCACAAGUAACUCAAAUGAGCACAAGAUAAGUAAUAAAUAUCCAUUCCUUAUUCUAAUUACAUUGCUUUGCCUUUGAUCAAUACAGAGGAGUUGCAGUCAAGGAUGCAAAUUCUCCACAUGGUCUUCGCCUACUGAUCGAGGACUAUCCAUAUGCCGUUGAUGGGAUUGAAAUCUGGUUUGCAAUUAAAACUUGGGUUGAAGACUAUUGCUCUUUCUACUACAAGACUGAUGACAUAAUUCAAGAAGACACCGAACUCCAAUCCUGGUGGAAGGAGCUUGUAGAGGAAGGCCAUGGUGACAAAAAAGAUGAGCCCUGGUGGCCUAAAAUGCAGACUCGCGAAGACCUAGUCGAAACAUGCACUAUCAUCAUAUGGACUGCUUCUGCUCUCCAUGCAGCCGUCAACUUUGGACAGUUCCCUUAUGCAGGAUACCUCCCCAACCGCCCAACUUUAAGCCGAAAAUUCAUGCCUGAGAAGGGAACUCCUGAGUACAAAGAGCUCGAAUCCAGCCCCGAUACAGUUUUCUUGAAAACAAUUACUGCUCAGCUGCAGACAGUGCUUGGCAUUGCCCUCAUUGAAAUUCUGUCAAGGCAUUCUACUGAUGAAGUGUAUUUGGGGCAGAGAGACACUCCUGAGUGGACAGCAGACACAGAACCAUUGAAAGCCUUCGAUAAAUUUGGAAGGAAACUGGCUGAAAUUGAGGACAGAAUUACAAGUAUGAACAAUGAUGAGAAACUGAAGAACCGAGUUGGACCGGUGAAGAUGCCAUACACUUUGCUGUUUCCUACUAGCGGAGGAGGACUUACUGGCAGGGGAAUUCCCAACAGUGUCUCAAUCUAAGCCUCUCAAGCUAGAAUAUAGACUAAAGUUAAUUAAUAUAAUGCAAGUUGCAAUUACUAUAUAUAAUUAAUUAGUAUAAUGCAUUCUUUAUGUGUAAUAAGCUAGAAACAUGACCUACAAUAUUGCAGUUGCAGUAAUAUUGGAUUGUUAAGUUGAGCAUCUUCAUCUUCAUCUUCAUCUGCUGGACCUAGAAUAUUACAGCUACAAUAUCUUUAUAUAAAUAGCUCUGUAUUCAUUGGUUCGUUAGCUUCAUUGCAAGCCUUCGGUCAGAAAUUUCUGCAGCAACAGCCUAGGCAUAUGCAAUAUCAACAUUUCAUCCAAGAUAUUGGAAACUACGAAAAUCAGAAUUUUAAGCCUUACUUUUAAUAAGCAUAUUUGAGAGGGAGCAGCAAAAGCUCAUCCAUGACAAUAUGUAUAAGCGCCUCAAUCUCAGCAUGCCUGCAAGUGCAUAGAAUAAGUUGCCUCUGUCUCAUCUGUUCAAAAAUUAAAUGAAACUCAUCACAGAGGAAAAGCAAAAACAAUAUAAAAUUUAUUAAGUCUAACUGCUUCCAUAAAAUUAAGGCUUAAAUGUUAACAUAGUCUAUGUGAUUUGUACAUUUGGUAAAUUUAAUCUCGUGUAUUUAAUUUGGCAAAUUUAGUUCUUGUGUUUGACUCCAUUAGCCAAUGUUGUCAAUUAUAUUAAAUUAUCGUUAAAAAAAUUCAUUAAAGUUUAAAAAUUAAUUAAAAAAUUUGUUAAAUUCAGUUUAUAAUGUUGAUAAAAAUUAAAAAAAUUAAAAAAGAAAUUUUGGAAACCCAACAGACUAUGUGUCCUCCUCUCAUGCUGCUGCCGCUACCCAACCCAACACCACAACCAUCAGUUGCCUGCCAAUACUGAUGUUGCAUCUUUAUGAGUGAGAGAAAGAGAGAUGGAGGAGUUGUGUGGUGGGGUGGGAUGGAUCGGGGAGAGAAGGGAGGGCUCGGGCCAGAUUUCUUUAUCCCUCUAAGGGUUUGUUGGUUCGUAAGUGCCCCUCACCUAGGCUAGGGCCCGAUUCUUUGAUAGCUCCAAGAGAUAACCCAUCAAGGAAACCUCCAAUUGUUGUACUCAUGAUAUUGAAGGGUCAGGCACUUUAUUGCAAUGAAUGUGGAGCAGAGCAAAAUAAUCAGCAAAAAGAAACUGAAGAACUUAGUUGCCAUGUUGGGAUUCGACAAUUGAAAAACAGAGAGAGAGAGAGAGAGAGAGAGAGAGAGAGAGAGAGAGAGAGAGAGAGAAUAGGGUGGUGGCUGGGACUGCUCAUGGUGGUUGUGGUGUGGGUUUUGUGAUUGUUUUUCAGGUUGGGGUAAAGAAUUAGGCCAAGUACAAGACUAAUAUACUAUUUUGGAGUCUAUUUAUUUGUAGGUUGAGCUGCACAUAAUCAUAGAUUAGGAGAGAUUCAGAAAUUCGUUCAGGGAGAAAUUAGUGGUUCAACAUAUGCAACUCACUCACCCUUACACUAUGUAGUCAGGUUAAAGAAUCGAGAUAUACUCCCGACUUACAAAGGGACAUGAAAUAAGUGCAUGGGUAAGUUAGAAGUUUUUCUAACAGGCUGUUCCUGCCUAGAAAUUGUUUACUACGACGAUUGCAGAGUAUCGAGACAGUGAGUACAAGAAGAUAGUUUGUUGUUUUUUAGUUACUAGCUCUUGAUAUGAAAUAAGGAGGAAGCUCUCCCAGUGCAGUUUCGAUCAUUGACGGACUCAGAAUUUUUUUAGCGGAGGUGGAAUAUUGACUAAGUAUGAAAAAUGAUUUUUCAGAAUAAUCAUUUUCUUAAGAUAAUUUUUGGCGGCUUUUAUUCCUUACACAUCAAAUAAGAAAACUUGAUUUUAUGGGAUUUUAGUAUGAAGUAUAUAUUGACUUAAUGAGCCAUUAUUUUUAGCCUAAAUCGUAUUUUGCACUAAAAUCGAUUUUUCAUAUUUUGAUAUGGUGCGAAUUUGAUUUUCUACUAUUUUUAUUUGAAUCCAAAUGGGGGGUACUCUUGGAAUUUUAAAAGGUUUUAAAAAUUUAACCGUUUUGUUUAUUUAAUUAUUUUGGUUGGUUUAUUUUAUUUAUUGUGGGGUUUAUAAAUAUUUAAUAUUUAUGUUUUAUUUCUGGUUGGUGAAUGCCUUAAUUCUUUGGUUGGUGAACUUUUAUAGUUGGUGAAGGUUACAUGUUUUUGGAUGCCUAUAAAAGGCCACUCCUCCUUCACAUUUGAAACAACUACAAUACACUAUUAGAAUAUCACAUACCACAUUCUGAUUCUCUCCUUUUCUACUUUUACAUAUAUUCUCUACUUUAUUAUUAUUAUUAUUUUGGGCAAUGGUUAUGUGACUUGGAUACCUAUAUCUGUCUAUGAACGUGCUUAUAGCGGAUCUUGAGUUUGUGUAGAAGGGGUCGUAUCUUGGGGUCUUGUAGACCGUCAGCACUUGCACGUAGGGAGGCUACAAAGGCUUUAGGACAGCGUCUUUGACGUGCUUCACCGUACCAAACUCACUUUCUUACUUAUUAUUUAUUUUCCUUUUACUUACCUAUUAUUUUGUUUUCUUCAAUUUCAUUAUACCUUCAAAGCUUUCUAAUUUGUUUAUAUGUUACUUAUAAUAUAAAUGUUUUGUAUUUGGCUUUACAGAAAGAGGAAAACUAUUAUUUUUUAUAACAGUUACUUCCUUAUUUACAUUGUAAAUUUAAAUAAAUGAAGUAAUAUAAAAAUAAAUAAGGUAAUCUAUACACCAGUCUUCCGAUAAGAGGAGGUGCAUCGCCUCAUUGCGCCUUAAUAGUUCCGCCACUUAUUCCGAUUCCCCAUAGGAUAGCCUCUAACUGAACCUAAGGCAAUAUGCUGCUAAGUGGAACCCUUGAACUGUGCUGCGAUAAAAAUAUGGGGUCCCUGAAUUCAGAGCUGUCUCUGUCCAGCCAUGAAGGACUAUUUUCAAUUGAACGGUGUCAUAUGGGGCACUUUCUAUGUCAACUCUGCCACACUGCACUGCCUUCAUAGUAAACAGAGCUAUAUGAGGCCCUAAAUAUAGCACAAAUGUGUGCAAACCAGAUCCUGCAUAGAAGAACAAUAUAAUAAAAUCAAUCCGAGUGUUGUCGAAAACAGGUCAACUCUAUCCACCAGAAUGUCAAAAUUUCAUGCUAUUGCUUACCAAGACCAAUUGAUGAUGCUACACCAAGAGCCAGCCACCAGAGUCCGAAUUGGAGACGACGAACAAGCUCCUGAAUAUGCUGCAGUAUGAUUAAUGUAUAAAAUCAAUAAAGGAAAGUCCAAAAGUGGGCAUAAAAAUGCAAUUCAAUUAAAUAAAUAAUGGGCAUAAAAAUACCUCUUCUUGAGGUCCACCAAAAGUUACAGUAAGCAUUCCUAUACCUCCUGCUAACAUAAUUAGAAGCACAAGCCAACCACCUUUUGCCAUAAAUUGUCGACGGCAUUGGCCAAAACCCAACAUGAAAUACUUUAAUGGCUGCUCUGUAAGUGUUAAGCUUUCUAGUGCACAAGCCAACCACUUUUUGACAUGAAAUACUUUAAUGUCUUUAAUAUUUUUAAUGUCUUUAAAAACAAACUACAACCAAAGCAUAAUUAAAAAUAAAACAUCAACACAAAGCAAAAUUAAAAACAAUGCAUCUUCACUUCACUUCAUUCACCGUCAUUACCUCUCACCGUCCAUAAAUAAUCCAUCAAGUCAACUUGACGUCGUUCAUGAAUAUAAGACGAUUGCAUCUCCGUAUAUCGAUCAAUCAUACAGUUCAUGAAACGAUCGUCCCUAACCAACAUAUCAUGCUCUAGUGGUUGUCCAUUUGGUUCCAUGGGCCUUUCAUAAAUUCUUGUCAAGGCCGUGUUCAUAGGAUCCGGUUCGACACAUAUGGAGCAUCACAAUCAUACUCAUCCUCCACAAUCAUGUUAUGGAGGAUGAUGCAAGUCAUCAUAAUCCUUCUCAGCACUUCCUUAUCAAACAUAUGUGCAGCACCCCUAAUCAUCGGCCACCUUGCUUGGAGGAUACCAAAACACCUUUCGACAUCUUUUCUGUAUCCAUCUUGAUAGGCAUAAAAUAAUUUUUGCUUCUCAGAUCGGGGAUUCAGAAUUGAUUUGACAAAUGUAGUCCACCUCGGGUAGAUGCCGUAUGCUAGAUAAUACCAAUUCCAGUAGACAAUAUUAUUGAUUUUAUAGGUGAUAUUUAAGGCUUCACCUCUCUAGACGUCGUUGAAAACUGGGGAUUGACCCAACACUUUCAAGUCGUUUUGAGAUUCGACAAUUCCGAAGAAGGCAUGUCAAACCCAUGUAUCGAAUCUAGCAACGGCUUCGAGGAUGAUACUUUUUUGUCCUUUCCUAUUUUCAUAAUCUCCUUGCCAGGACGUUGGGCAAUUCUUCCAUUGCCAGUGCAUAUAGUUGAUGCUUCCAAUCAUACCUAGAAAACAUCAAGCUUCGGCUUUCUGUAGAAGCCUUUGGAGGUCCUUAGGCGUAGGUUUGCAAAGCUAGUCCCUGGUGUAAAGAGUUUUGAUUCCGUCACAGAAUCUGACCAUGGUCUCUAGAGUAGUGGACUUCCCCAUCCUAGCAAUCUCAUCCACAUGAUCAGCAGAUGAACCAUAUGCUAGCACUCGUAUAACAACGGUAAGCUUUUGCUUUGGAAGAAUCCCCAAAACCCCAGCAGCAUCACACUUCUGAACGAAUUAUGCAUCGUAAUUGCAAACAUCAUGCAUGACUUUAUUGAACAAAUGGGGUUGCAUUCUAUAUCGCCCUCGAAAAUCAACAUUAAAGUACACAAAAUUUGGGAUAAAGUAAUCUUCCAAAAGAUUCUUACUCCAAGAAUACCUACGUCUGUCCAUGUUUGGACCACGGCCAACUUGUGAACCACGACGACAACCUUGGCUUACUAGAUCAAGCAAACCCACUGCUAUAUCAACUUUUUCAUCUUCUUCUUGCUACACCCUUUUUUCUUCAACUCGUCUACGCCUUCUUUCUUUAAUUUCUCUAGCUAUUGAAAUAAAAUGGUAAACGAACAUAGAUUAAUUAAUAAUAAAAAGGGUAAUUGUUCUCUUGUUCAUUAAUCCAGUUUAAUUUAUAAUGCUUAAACCAAAAAUAAGUAAAAAUCGGGCGAGACACUUUGAAAUAGGGGGUUGGCAUAAAAACCGCAGAAUCAACAAACUGAGUUAAUAAAAAUCUUGUUGACUAAAAAAAUCAACUUAGAUUUAAAAACUGAACCGGACAAGAUCGGGUGUGUUUUUUUUAAUAUUUUCAAAAUGUCCAAGUCUAGCAACCCAAUUUCAAAUUCCCAAGCCCAACCCUCAUACCUGAAAUAUCCUAGUCCAGCAGCCCACUGUUUUCUGGUCACCAAAUAUCAAAGUUUUAUGCAUUAGCCCAAAACCAACUUCUCAAAGGAAAGGGCAAAAAAAAAGAGAAAUUUUUGUAUGGGUACACCACAUCAUUGGCGUACUAUUCAAUACACGCAAGACAAUAUUGGAUAAUAUUUUCAUAUGUAACAUGUGUAUUGGAUGGUACACCAGUCACAUGGUGUAUCCUGAAUAUGCAAGAAUUACUAAAAAAAAAGCAAGAACACUAUUGACUUUUAAGAAUUCAACUGUACUUUCAUUUCAAUUGCUUAGUUUUACUUUAGAGAUGUGCUUUUAUUUGAGAAAUGGGUUCUUUCACAUUUCACGUGCCUUGAAAGUGGGCUCAAUUUGGGCUUUUGAGCCCACCACUGGCCUAUGUUGGCCAUUAAAGAACAAGGAAAUUUUUUUUCUUCUUCUAUAUUUUGAAAUAAAAGUAAAGGCAGAAAGAAUCAUAGAAUGGAAUAUAAGAAAUAAAAGAACCCACGUCCACCACCACUAGCCUAGCCUUAUGCCAUGUCCAAGAAGUUAUCAUAUUUUUCUUUUUUCAAGGCUUUUGGGAGUCAAAGAAGGUUAUCAUGUUGCAACUUUCCAAGGAACUUCUUCCCUCCUCAUGAGAGUCAUAGGCCAACCUUAACCAACUUUUACAACAACGUUUUCGACUUGCAAAUUUGCAUCAACGAUGUUACUUGUAUAAUUUUCAACAACGUUUUCGACUUGCAAAUCAUACGUACAUCGAUGUGAUUUACGUUGUUAUAUACAGUAUACGUAAAGUUGUACAAAAUAGUUAUUGAAUAAAGCAAUUGAAUUUAUUAAAGUCAACGAUCUAUGCGAAGGAAAAGUAUGAGAUUUGUUUAUUAUUUUUCCUUUUACCCAUGUCUAGACCUUUUAGGGGUCCAUGCGUAUGCUAAUAGCCUAAUACCAAUUCAAAAAAAUCGAAAAACAUGUUUAAAAAAACAAAAAUAAGGAAACAUGCCAAAGAAGAUGAAGGCAAUAUAUACAAGCUUUCUCCAAUCAACCAAAAAAAAAUUUGUAGUGUAUGUUUUCACCCACUCAAAACAAAAUAAUUUAUGAGUGCCAUUGCAUGCUAAUCGAUGAUGAAUUUUAGUUAUUAAAAAAAUUAUCUUAUGGUAUUAAGUCAUGGCAAAUUUAUCAUAAAUAUUUUCAUAUUAAAUGAUGUGAGGGCUCCUGUUUAAGUUUUGCAUAGUGCCCUCAAAAUCUCAAGAUCGGCCCUGGAGACAAGGUUCCUUUUUUCGUUUGUGGUUGAGAAGGUAGGAUACUUCGGUAGACCGAUGACCACUACGCUUCGUUUGGUGUAGAGUACUCGCCUAAUCCUCUAGAACAUAUUCUGGUUUUUUUUUUAAAAAAAAAUACUUGUUACUCAUUUUCCUCAUUAAUAAAACACUAUGGCCGUUGUGUAAAAAAAAAUAAAAAAUUGUCCUUGUACAAAUUGGGAAAUUAAAAAUUAAAAAUUAAACGUAGCCCAUUUCAAAUUGAAGACCCCUAAUAUCUCUGUAGACUAGUAUAGUACUUAUCCAAGGGUUUGUUCAGAUCUAAACCAAAUUGGUGACUAGCAUGGACUAUAGACUUGGUCACAAAUGUAGAAUUUGAUUAAAUUUUGUUGGUUAAUUACAACCCUAAUCUAAGUGAUCUCACAUUCUGGAUCGUAAUAAUAAUUAGUAUCAAUAUUUAUCCACCUAACAAUCUGAUCGGGGUUAUCCAACUUUAGGUUCUUCAAAACAUUGUGGGACAAGCUACUUGAUUAUGAUGGUACAACUGUAAAUUUGAAUUCUAAUUCAUUGUAUGCUCAAUUAAUGGAUGGUACUAUAGUUAGGUAUGAAGUGCUUCAAUUUGUUCACAAGAAAUGUUAAUGCACACGUCUUCUAAUUUUGGGUAGAACACCAAACUGCUAGCUUUCCUUUCUCUGCGACUUUGGUUUUUGCAGAGAAUUUUUCUUGCAUGUGAAGUGGUUUUUUUUCUUAAUUAAGUUCAAUCCCUCAGAUUGAAGGACCCCUAAACCAUUUUCGUCAAAGUUCAAUCUUGCAUGCUUUACACAAUAAGGAAAUUUUGAUAACUGGGAUUAAGAUAGAUUAAGAUAGACUAAUAAUUAAUGUAAUUGAGCUAUACACAGAUCACGUGCAAGGGAUGUUUUCAUGUCUGUUUUGUGUUGUGAUUAAACUAAUCCCACUACACCCACAAACAAAAUCUUUUGGAAUUUCAUCUUGAACAUGAGAAUAAACAAAUUAUUUCCAAAUGGAAAAAGACCCCAUGUGAAAAGCGAGGGAAUAUAUCUAUUCAUAAUAUUUAAAAGCCAACUUGCUGCUGGGAGAAGAAUAUUAUUACAAAGAACAACUCCAACGUGGCAGCUUAAAUCAGGUCCGAACCGAUGGCCCUUUGGCUUUGCUUCUCUCCUGAGAUAACGCAGAUAAAGCCAAACCCAAAACUGCGGGUCCAAAUUGGCCACAUUGUCUUUUCCGGUUUAAAAAAAAAAAAGAAAAAAAAAGAAAAAAAAAGGCACACUAAAAACGCAAAUCAUUUCGCAGCCCAGGAAUUGUCAAGGAUGCAAUGAAAAAAAAAUUAAUUGUACCUCUCGCAUUAAGUUAGCGUAUAGUGUAUUCAUGUGAUCUAUAUCCUAUCGUACAUGCAUAGUGUGGGUAAGGUAUAUGGGUCAUUACAAUAUCUUUUAAUUUUUAAUCUUCUAAUUAUUUCGUCAAUGUAUUUUAUAGGGGCAGUUCUUCGUACGAACAUGACGUACCUUUUUAUAUUAAAAUAUUCAUAUCUUUACCGAGAAUAUGUGAAUAAUAAAACGUAUCAACAUACUAUAUAUCUUAAUACACAAUCCGUAUUUUAACAAAGAACAGACGUGAUGCAUAUAGAAUUUCUAUAAACAAAGGGUUAAUCUUAAAGGGAUGAGUACGGGUUAAUUUGCAUUUUGCUCCCCUUGGUCACCGUUACCAAGCCAUCCCAAGAAAUAUACAGCCCUACAAAUAAUUUCCUUAGAUAAAAGUCGUGGAAGACUUUUUCCAGAGAAGAGACUGCUGACUUGUAACCAAUCGUAUAUUUCUUUUAAAGAAAUAGUAAGACAAUUAAACGUGCCCAUAUAUGAAAUGAAAUUGAACACAUGAACUGACUAUUAUUCUGAAGCUUCUCAGAAAGGAGUUGCAAUAUUGCUCACUUUCUCCCUAUAAAUACCACCACAAUUCCCUGUUGCACUCAUCCAUACAAACUUUCAACUCAUUUCACCAACAACAGCUACUUUUUUCUCGAAAAAAAGAUCAAGAGAUUCUUUGCUUACUUCUUGGAAAGCCGAACAAAAUGUUGCACAACCUCUUUGACAAAAUCACAGGCCAGGAGCAGAAUGGGAAAAACAGUAGGAAGAUCCAAGGGACUGUGGUUUUGAUGAAGAAGAAUGUGUUGGAUUUCAAUGACUUCAAUGCUUCUGUUCUUGAUCGUGUGCAUGAACUGCUAGGCCAAGGGGUUUCUCUGCAGCUCAUCAGUGCUGAUCAUGGAGACUCUGGUGAGUUUUUUUUUUUUUUUUUUCUCUCUCUCUCUUUAAUUUUCAUUAAAAAUGUAUAGUUUUUAUGGCUUCAUUGAUUGAAUAUGCAUGACAUGAAACCAAUUUGAGUUUUGCUCUUGUUUCAUUUCCUUGUAAUUCUUUUUCUUUGAAGCAAUUAUGAUAAGAUUAAGAAGAUGAACCAAUAACUCUAUCUUUUUCCUUGGUGGAUUAGUUGGGUUCAGAUUAUGUCAUUAAUCUCUUUGAUCUUCAUCAAAACUUGGCUAUAUCUGGCUUUUAGGUCCAAUAAAUCAGAUUUUGAAUGCAAUUCUGAUAUAGCCAGGCAAUGGAAACAGCUUUUUGACAAUUCAAAGGGCACCCGGGUCAAUUAAUCCAUUUUUUGGGUCCAGUCAUGAGGCAUUUGGAAUGUAGUGGUCUUGAGCUUACCCCUUCCAACACUCUCUCAUUGUGAUUGAAGGUGCCCCAACAUUGUUUUUGCCCUGUCUGUAUGCAAGUGAUUUGGUGGCUAAAAGUACAGUAGAGACAUUACUAUUUUAAUGGCAAGGGUUUUAUAGUCAAUCUAACAGCAUCAAUAUUUAUUGUACUAUUUGGUGUGCUACAUGAGAAAUCUAUAUUAUUUUGGUUGGUCUCUAUCAUUCGGAGGAAACAAACACUUUUUAAUUCAUCUUCUUCUUGUAACUAUGUCAUCCUCGUUUAUGGUAACAAAAAAUUUGAUUAAAAAACCAGUUUAGUUUUGAAAGAUAUGAAAAUGAUUUUUAAAUCAUGGCCAUCAGCCAUUCCAUUUGGUGGUCAUGUCAGGAAGUGAAUAGACAGGAAAGCUAAUCUUUUUCUUACCUGUGAACGCCAACUACCAGUCUAGCUACCAGUUAACAUGAAAAUGAAGCUCCAUGCAGUUGGCUGUUGGCUGUUGGCAUAGCUUUAAGCCUUUUUCUGAUUAUGGUUUUUUACUCAGAUCCAAUAAUUUUUUGUUUUCCUUCGAAUAUUCUGAAGAAACAGCCGCAGGUUCUGUUCCUAAUAAAAUUUUGAACACGCAUUGAAAAUUACAACAACUUGCAUAAAAUGGCUACAACUAAGACCUGAUUUGAGGUGUUUAGAACAAAAUUUCGGAUGAACUUUAUUCUAUUGGAAAUAUUAAUUGAUUUGUUUAUGAGGUACUAGAUAUGGAAUUAUUUUCUGAACUUGGAGAAAUGUGUUUUUGUAGAAAACGGGUUUAAGGGGAAACUUGGAGAGCCAGCAUAUCUGGAAGACUGGAUCACCACAAUCACUCCAUUAACUGUAGGAGAUUCUGCAUACAACGUUACCUUCGACUGGGAAGAGGAAAUAGGAGUUCCAGGAGCUAUCUUAAUAAAAAACAAUCAUCACAGUGAGUUCUUCCUUAAGACUAUCACCCUUGAAGAUGUUCCUCGUGAGGGCCGGGUCCACUUUGUUUGCAACUCAUGGGUGUACCCUGCAGAAAAAUACACGAAAGACCGUGUUUUCUUCGUUAACAAGGUAACGAAUGAUUCACACAAUCCAUUACAAUCUGCUGUAGUUUCUGUUGUAGCUGAUGGAAGUUUUAAAUUCUAAGUGCAAGCCUAGUAUAUUAUGAGGAUAUUUGUGGCUUGUAUCUUAAGUUAAAGACUAACAUUCAAGCCUUGUAUAUGUUUGUGCAGACAUUUCUCCCAAGUGAAACACCGUUGCCACUGCGAAAAUACAGAGAAGAAGAACUAGUACACUUGAGAGGAGAUGGAAAGGGAGAGCUCCAGGAAUGGGACAGGGUCUAUGACUAUGCUUACUACAAUGAUCUAGGGAACCCUGAUAAGGGUCCCAAAUACGCCCGACCAACUCUGGGAGGGUCUAGCGAGUACCCUUACCCUCGCAGGGGAAGAACCGGCAGACCAGCAACGAAGACAGGUUAGCCAUUUAAAUAUCUUUGUGUCAUUUUUUGUUCCUCAAAUCAUUAAUUAGCAGUCACAAGAGGGAUCAUAUUUUGUAUUGGAUUUUAAUUAACUGAUGUUGUAAUUAUCACUAUGAUUUUUCUGAUCUUAUUCUAACAGAUUCUAACAGUGAGAGUAGGAUUCCACUUCUUAUGAGCUUAAACAUUUAUGUGCCAAGAGAUGAACGAUUUGGACACUUGAAGUUGUCAGACUUUCUGGCUUAUGCACUGAAAUCCAUAGUUCAAUUCAUUAGGCCAGAGCUAGAAGCCCUGUUUGAUAAGACUCCUAACGAGUUUGACAGCUUGGAAGAUGUGCUUAAACUCUAUAAAGGAGGCAUUCCAUUGCCUGAAGGUUUAUUGAAGGAUAUCGGAGACAAUAUCCCUGCAGAGAUGCUCAAGGAAAUUUUCCGAACUGACGGUGCACAAUUGCUCAGAUUCCCCAUGCCUCAAGUGAUCGAAGGUAUAUGCUUCCACCAAUGAGAAAUUCUGAAUUUAGAGGCUUUAAGCAAUAGCCUAUGAUAUCAUGUACUAUUUCCUUUUAUCUAAUUCUGAUGUUUUCAUGAUUUGGAGCAGAGGAUAAGUCUGCAUGGAGGACUGAUGAAGAAUUUGCCAGAGAAAUGCUGGCUGGAGUGAACCCUGUCAACAUUAGUCUUCUCCAAGUAAUAAUCUUCACAACAUUUUGUGUGUGUGAUGUUUUCCAAUGAUAAUGGAUGAAAAACAAACCAUACUUUCGAGGGUCCAUUUUGUUCAUAUGUAAUCACAUUUGCUUCUAACUGAACUGCAGGAAUUUCCACCAGCAAGCAAACUAAACCCAAAAGUUUAUGGAGAUCAAACCAGUAGAAUAACAGAACAGGAUAUAGGGAACAAGUUGGAUGGACUAACAGUGCAUGAGGUAAUAUCUUGGAUUUGCUUCCUUUACAUUGUAUUAGCUUAUGUUUGAGUUUAUAUCAUUUCAUAAUGAUGAAAAUGAAUUUGGUUGGAUAGGCACUCAAGCAGAACAAGUUAUUCAUAUUGGAUCAUCAUGAUGCAUUGAUGCCGUACCUGAGGCGGAUAAACUCAACUUCCAACAAGAUCUAUGCUAGCAGAACAGUUCUUUUCUUGAAAAGUGAUGGAACUUUGAAGCCAUUGGUGAUUGAAUUAAGCUUGCCUCAUCCUGAUGGAGAUCAAUUUGGUCGCAUUAGUAAAGUAUAUACACCAGCUGAAGAGGGUGUAGAAGGCUCCAUAUGGCAACUGGCUAAAGCUUAUGUGGCUGUAAAUGACUCUGGAUAUCAUCAACUUAUCAGUCACUGGUACUAAUCUUUCAAAGAAAGAAAUCUUAGAAAAUGAAUUCAUCAUAUUACUUUGAAUUGGAUUUCUGAUAAUCCUUUUAUCUUUUGGCCACAGGUUGAACACCCACGCAGUGUGUGAGCCAGUUGUAAUAGCUACAAACAGGCAGCUAAGCGUGGUUCACCCAAUUUACAAACUUCUGCAUCCUCACUUCCGUGACACCAUGAACAUAAAUGCAUUUGCCAGGCAAAUCCUGAUCAAUGCUGGCGGCAUUCUGGAGACAACAGUUUUUCCUGCUAGGUAUGCCAUGGAGAUGUCAUCAGUGGUUUAUAAGGAUUGGGUUUUCACUGAGCAAGCUCUCCCUGCAGAUCUCAUCAAGAGGUAAACAAAAAUCUACACUUUGUGAGUUAAUUGCCUCUGCACAAGUAACUCAAAUGAGCACAAGAUAAGUAAUAAAUAUCCAUUCCUUAUUCUAAUUACAUUGCUUUGCCUUUGAUCAAUACAGAGGAGUUGCAGUCAAGGAUGCAAAUUCUCCACAUGGUCUUCGCCUACUGAUCGAGGACUAUCCAUAUGCCGUUGAUGGGAUUGAAAUCUGGUUUGCAAUUAAAACUUGGGUUGACGACUAUUGCUCUUUCUACUACAAGACUGAUGACAUAAUUCAAAAAGACAUUGAACUCCAAUCCUGGUGGAAGGAGCUUGUAGAGGAAGGCCAUGGUGACAAAAGAGAUGAGCCCUGGUGGCCUAAAAUGCAGACUCGCGAAGACCUAGUCGAAACAUGCACUAUCAUCAUAUGGACUGCUUCUGCUCUCCAUGCAGCCGUCAACUUUGGACAGUACCCUUAUGCAGGAUACCUCCCCAACCGGCCAACUAUAAGCCGAAAAUUCAUGCCUGAGAAGGGGACUCCUGAGUACAAAGAGCUCGAAUCCAGCCCUGAUACAGUUUUCUUGAAAACAAUUACUGCUCAGCUGCAGACAGUGCUUGGCAUUGCCCUCAUUGAAAUUCUGUCAAGGCAUUCUACUGAUGAAGUGUAUUUGGGGCAGAGAGACACUCCUGAGUGGACAGCAGACACAGAACCAUUGAAAGCCUUUGAUAAAUUUGGAAGUAAACUGGCUGAAAUUGAGGACAGAAUUACACGUAUGAACAACGAUGAGAAACUGAAGAACCGAGUUGGACCGGUGAAGAUGCCAUACACUUUGCUGUUUCCUACUAGCGAAGGAGGACUAACUGGCAGGGGAAUUCCCAACAGUGUCUCAAUCUAAGCCUCAUAAGCUAGUAUAUAGACUAAAGUUAAUUAGUAUAAUGCAAGUUGCAAUUACUAUAUAUAAUUAAGUAGUAUAAUGCAUUCUUUAUGUUACAUAAGCUAGAAUAUUACAGUUGCAAUAAGGCCUUGUAAAUUGCUUGGCUACAAUAUCUUUAUAUAAAGAACACUGUAUUCAUUGGUUCAUUAGCUUCCUUGCAAGCCUUUCAAGUUCUGCAGCAACAGCCUAGGCAUAUGCAAUAUCAACAUUUCAUCCAAGAUAUUGGAAAGUAUGAAAAUCAGAAUUUUAAGCCUUACUUUUAAUAAGCAUAUUUGAGAGGGAGCAGCAAAAGCAUUUUUGAAAUCAUCCAUGACAAUAUGCAUAAGCGCCU